RNAcentral lists this ribosomal RNA (497 nucleotides) under uncultured bacterium. RNAcentral's name for it is "partial 16S ribosomal RNA". It matches the Rfam family "Bacterial small subunit ribosomal RNA", at positions 28 to 507 of the family's 1533-position model. The record is from RNAcentral.
GAUGAACGCUGGCGGCGUGCCUAAUUCAUGCCAGUCGAGCGAACGGACGAGAAGCUUGCUUCUCUGAUGUUAGCGGCGGACGGGUGAGUAACACGUGGAUAACCUACCUAUAAGACUGGGAUAACUUCGGGAAACCGGAGCUAAUACCGGAUAAUAUUUUGAACAGCAUGGUUCAAAAGUGAAAGACGGUCUUGCUGUCACUUAUAGAUGGAUCCGCGCUGCAUUAGCUAGUUGGUAAGGUAACGGCUUACCAAUGCAACGAUGCAUAGCCGACCCGAGAGGGUGAUCGGCCACACUGGAACUGCGACACGGUCCAGACUCCUACGGGAGGCAGCAGUAGGGAAUCUUCCGCAAUGGGCGACAGCCUGACGGAGCAACGCCGCGUGAGUGAUGAAGGUCUUCGGAUCGUAAAACUCUGUUAUUCGGGAAGAACAUAUGUGUAAGUAACUGUGCACAUCUUGACGGUACCUAAUCAGAAAGCCACGGCUAACUACGUG